This 251-nucleotide ribosomal RNA is filed under the name Hemiselmis andersenii. Its description in RNAcentral is "partial Bacterial small subunit ribosomal RNA". It matches the Rfam family "Bacterial small subunit ribosomal RNA", at positions 909 to 1160 of the family's 1533-position model. Lineage: Eukaryota; Cryptophyceae; Cryptomonadales; Hemiselmidaceae. The record is from RNAcentral.
AUUGACGGGGGCCCGCACAAGCGGAGGAACAUGUGGUUUAAUUCGAUGAUACGCGAGGAACCUUACCCGGGCUUGAAUUGCAGAGGAAGGAUUUAGAGAUAAUGACGCCCUUCGGGGCCUCUGUGAAGGUGCUGCAUGGUUGUCGUCAGCUCGUGCCGUGAGGUGUCGGCUUAAGUGCCAUAACGAGCGCAACCCCUCUCUUCAGUUGCCAUCAGGUAAUGCUGGGCACUCUGGAGACACUGCCACCGUAA